This 465-nucleotide ribosomal RNA is filed under the name uncultured bacterium. Its description in RNAcentral is "partial 16S ribosomal RNA". It matches the Rfam family "Bacterial small subunit ribosomal RNA", at positions 28 to 507 of the family's 1533-position model. The record is from RNAcentral.
GACGAACGCUGGCGGCGUGCUUAACACAUGCAAGUCGAACGGUAAGGCUCCAGCUUGCUGGGGUACACGAGUGGCGAACGGGUGAGUAACAAGUGGGUGACCUGCCCUGCACUUCGGGAUAAGCCUGGGAAACUGGGUCUAAUACCGGAUAGGACCGCACCGUGAGGGUGUGGUGGAAAGUUUUUUCGGUGUGGGAUGGGCCCGCGGCCUAUCAGCUUGUUGGUGGGGUAAUGGCCUACCAAGGCGGCGACGGGUAGCGGGCCUGAGAGGGUGGACGGCCACAUUGGGACUGAGACACGGCCCAGACUCCUACGGGGGGCAGCAGUGGGGAAUAUUGCACAAUGGGCGGAAGCCUGAUGCAGCGACGCCGCGUGGGGGAUGACGGCCUUCGGGUUGUAAACUCCUUUCACCAUCGACGAAGGGUUUCUGACGGUAGAUGGAGAAGAAGCACCGGCUAACUACGUG